GAUGAACGCUGGCGGCGUGCCUAAUACAUGCAAGUCGAGCGAACGGACGAGAAGCUUGCUUCUCUGAUGUUAGCGGCGGACGGGUGAGUAACACGUGGAUAACCUACCUAUAAGACUGGGAUAACUUCGGGAAACCGGAGCUAAUACCGGAUAAUAUUUUGAACCGCAUGGUUCAAAAGUGAAAGACGGUCUUGCUGUCACUUAUAGAUGGAUCCGCGCUGCAUUAGCUAGUUGGUAAGGUAACGGCUUACCAAGGCAACGAUGCAUAGCCGACCUGAGAGCGGGACCGGCCACACUGGAACUGAGACACGGUCCAGACUCCGACGGGAGGCAGCAGUAGGGAAUCUUCCGCAAUGGGCGAAAGCCUGACGGAGCAACGCCGCGUGAGUGAUGAAGGUCUUCGGAUCGUAAAACUCUGUUAUUAGGGAAGAACAUAUGUGUAAGUAACUGUGCACAUCUUGACGGUACCUAAUCAGAAAGCCACGGCUAACUACGUG
This 497-nucleotide ribosomal RNA is filed under the name uncultured bacterium. RNAcentral describes it as "partial 16S ribosomal RNA". It matches the Rfam family "Bacterial small subunit ribosomal RNA", at positions 28 to 507 of the family's 1533-position model. The record is from RNAcentral.